GCCCGGUUAGCUCAGUCGGUAGAUCAUCAGACUUUUAAUCUGAGGGCCAUGGGUUCUAGUCCCAUAUCGGGCG
RNAcentral lists this transfer RNA (73 nucleotides) under Orbicella faveolata. Its description in RNAcentral is "tRNA-Lys". It matches the Rfam family "tRNA". Rfam says of the family: Transfer RNA (tRNA) molecules are approximately 80 nucleotides in length. Their secondary structure includes four short double-helical elements and three loops (D, anti-codon, and T loops). The record is from RNAcentral. Lineage: Eukaryota; Metazoa; Cnidaria; Anthozoa; Scleractinia; Merulinidae.